This 1625-nucleotide long non-coding RNA is filed under the name Gallus gallus (chicken). Lineage: Eukaryota; Metazoa; Chordata; Aves; Galliformes; Phasianidae. The record is from RNAcentral.
CGGCGCUGGGCUCCAGCUCGGCCAAGGCCACGAUGUCCACGGCGGGGUUGGGGCCCAGCUUCUUGGCCGACUCCACGUCGGCCUUCAUCUCCUCCAGGUCGCGUUUGAGCUUGGCGCGGCGGUUCUGGAACCAGGUGAUGACCUGGGCGUUGGUGAGCCCCAGCUGCUGGGCGAUCUGGUCCCGGUCCGCCGGCGACAGGUAUUUUUGGUAGAGGAAGCGCUUCUCCAGCUCGUAGAUCUGGUGGUUGGUGAAGGCCGUCCGAGACUUCCGACGCUUCUUCGGCGUCUGCCGCUGCCCGAAGAUCGUCAUCCCGUCCCUUCCUGCCGACGAGCCGUCACAUUGCCACCUCGCCCCGAACAAACCGCCCCCCCCCCCCCCUCCUUCCCCGGCCCUCCCGGAUCCCCCGCUCCCCUCCGCGCGCCCUCGGCUGCGCGCACCGCCGCCCUCCGACGGGACCCCCGCGCCCCCUCUUCGCCUUACCUUCGGCCGCCUGCAGCACGCUGACUUCCAGCCCCUUGAAGGUUUUGCUGGCCAGCUCCUCCAGGGCGCACAGCGGCGACGUCUGCGAGAGCAGCGCCCGGCCCGACAGCGGCAGCCCGGCCGCGGGGUGCUUCUCGGCGGCGGACAGCAGGUGGGCCGUCCCGCACAGCGCGUAACUCCUCCGCACCGACGGCUUGUUGAGGAUGUCCUCGAUGCUGAAAGGGGCUUCUGCUUUAUUUCAAACGUCUCCCUCCGGCUCAACCCGGAGCCCUUCUGCUGUUUUAAUGAGGGGAAGAAGGGGAGAACGUGUCUCCAGCCCCAGCAAUCCAAUCGGACGUGGGCUCCCAGCAAGAACAGCCGCGACGUGCCUACCCAGGGCCUGGCAAGGCGAGAACUCACUGUAUUUUAUUUUUAAGUAUUUCGAUGGGUACACCCAUCCCUCCUCCAUGCCGGGACAGAGAGCAGACGGGACCGCUUCCCCCGAACGACGACCGCACAGGGGUCCCCCUGCCCUGCGAUUUGGCUCUGGACAAAACUUUGUUGGCCGGAGGGGGGGUGGUGGUGGGGGGGCAGCGACACGGGGCUGCGACUGCCGAACCGCUCUGGCUCCUCCGAGAGCUGUAAUAUCUCCUCGGCUCCCGGCACGCGUGAAUAAUUCACCGGGCUGCCAAAUCUAAGUAACGUGUGUGGCAGCUCUGAAGGAGGCGAAGGCCCGUUUUUGGGGGGCAGGAGGAGGUGUGGGGAAUCAAUUGAAACUUAAUAUAGGGCGUGGGGGGGAGAAUGGCGGAAAUAAGGCAGGCAACUUCUUCUAAUAACAACUGGCUGUUAAUAAUUCAGGAGCAGUCAUUGGAUUAUAGCGCAAUAUCCGAAGUACGCGGUGCCGGCACAGUGCGGGUGGAUAAUGUAAUCGGAGCUCAUUUCGGCUUCCAAUAAAUUACAGCAGCAAAAGUUUCCUGUUAAAGCAGUUAUUUGUAUUUCUUUUUCUGAAGGUGAUCCCCCUCCCUCCUCCUCUUCCAACAACUGCAGUGAGGAAGUUAAUUAAAAACUAAUAUUCCCACCCCUUGCAAAAGCAGUACGGAGAUGCGGAGCGGGAGGCACUGCCAGAGUUUGCCCGUCAUCUCUUUCAACUUUGUGUGCUGCCAGG